GACGAACGCUGGCGGCGUGCUUAACACAUGCAAGUCGAGCGGUAAGGCCCUUUCGGGGGUACACGAGCGGCGAACGGGUGAGUAACACGUGGGUGACCUGCCCUCAGCUCUGGGAUAAGCCUGGGAAACCGGGUCUAAUACUGGAUAUGACUCCAUGACGCAUGUUGUGGGGUGGAAAGCCUUGUGCGGCUGAGGAUGGGCCCGCGGCCUAUCAGCUUGUUGGUGGGGGAUGGCCUACCAAGGCGACGACGGGUAGCCGGCCUGAGAGGGCGACCGGCCACACUGGGACUGAGACACGGCCCAGACUCCUACGGGAGGCAGCAGUGGGAAUCUUGCGCAAUGGGCGAAAGCCUGACGCAGCGACGCCGCGUGAGGGAUGACGGCCU
Molecule: ribosomal RNA, 386 nt
Filed under: uncultured bacterium
Lineage: Bacteria
Description: bacterial SSU rRNA
Rfam family: Bacterial small subunit ribosomal RNA
Source: RNAcentral